Molecule: long non-coding RNA, 1411 nt
Organism: Heterocephalus glaber (naked mole-rat)
Lineage: Eukaryota; Metazoa; Chordata; Mammalia; Rodentia; Bathyergidae
Source: Ensembl
GUUAUCAUUAACUUUUGUUUUUUUUGUAUCCAUACUUUAUGUGAGAAAAGAAAUGGAUAGAUUUACCUUCUAUUCUGGUCAUGUAAUGUUCUAAGAUGUUUACUGAAAUAGCAAAAGCAUAUACCCAGGUAUAUAUAAAUCUGUUCAUUAGGCUAGGCAAAUAUAAUUUGAGUGAAUAUAAUCUUGAUUACUGUAGAAUCAUUCUAAUUUCACAAAAUAGUUUACAUUUUAGGUUUGGAUGGUAACAACAUAAAAUUAAUUAAUAGAUUCUACAAAUUUUUGUUCAUUUUUUUUUGAGGCAGCGUCUUGUUAGUGGUCUCUCUAGAGAGAGACUGGAGACCCCCGAGAGCACCGACCUUUAAAGAAAGAAAAGGAGAGAGCCUGGGGGAUGAACAGCAGUUUAUUCUCCUGACACUGUUCGACAAUCACAAAGGAAAGAGGUUUUUGUUUGAGAGAAGAAGAACCUGGAAUCCAACUCCAGAAGGACAGUUGUGCUGCCUAGGUUACCUCAGUGCCUGAAAGGAUGAAAAAUGUUUACCUGUCUUGGACACUUUUACUGUGAGGUGCAGACAGAAAUCACACAAGACCACAUCCAGUGAAUAAGAAGCCUAUGACGUUUACGGGAAAGAGAAAUGCUGACUAAAGUGAGCUGGGCUGAGGCAGUCUGCAGAGGGGCCUGAUCGAAGAGUGUCCUGAGGGUGGACGCUCAUGUGAGAGACCUGGGAGUACCUUCUGAUUCCCUGGAGAAGAGCAUGGGCUGAACUUUCCUUUUUGAGGGGCCAGGAGAAUUCUGUGUGUGAGACACAGGACAGAGGGCUCCCUUACUACUUGACAAACAAUAUUAGAUUGACCCCCAAAUAACUAGCUGCUGAAGUGACUUGAAAGCUCCUUCUCUGUGAGUGAGAAUCCUGGGGCUUAUUUCCCGUGGUCAGCUUUGGAUCAAUCCGUUCCCCUCUGUAGCCAGUCUCCCAGCUCCAUUGCCCCUUCCCUGUGCAGGUGCCCUCUGAACUCCAGUUGAACCAGCUCCUCUGCACAGCUUGGACUCCACUAACAUGGAAGCAAUACAUAUUUGCCAACCUGUGUUCUAAUGAAUCCCGGAGGGAAGAUUUGCAAACAUAAUACCGAUAAAUCUAAUGUAAUAAGAGAACACUUCAAGAAUUGGAUACUCAUGACUGGAUUUUUAGGUUCUUGGUAAUUUUUGACUGCAAAUUUUGGUCAGGUUUUUUUUCUUCUAAGUUGCUUCAAUAGUUAAGGUGGCUAGAGGCACUGAAGCUUCAAAAAUUACAUAUAUGUCUCUGUUAUUUGCCUUGGCUUAAAAUAUGUUUCAAUCUCUUGGGCAAAAGAUGCCCAAACUAUUGCUUAGUAAUGAGGCACAAGGUAGAGAAAAGAGGCCCCUGGUGAAGGUGGAGGG